Molecule: transfer RNA, 72 nt
Filed under: Camelus bactrianus (Bactrian camel)
Lineage: Eukaryota; Metazoa; Chordata; Mammalia; Artiodactyla; Camelidae
Also listed under: 1 other name
Rfam family: tRNA
About the family: Transfer RNA (tRNA) molecules are approximately 80 nucleotides in length.
Source: Rfam by way of RNAcentral
GAGGGCAUGGCUCAGUGGUAGAGGGCAUGCUUAGCAUGCAUGAAGCCCCGGGUUCAAUCCUCAGUGCCUCCA